GACGUAGGGCGCGAGCGUUGUCCGGAUUUAUUGGGCGUAAAGAGCUCGUAGGCGGCUGUUCAAGUCGAACGUGAAAACUCGGAGCUCAACUCCGAGCCUGCGUUCGAUACUGGACGGCUAGAGUCUGGUAGGGGGAUCUGGAAUUCCUGGUGUAGCGGUGGAAUGCGCAGAUAUCUGGAGGAACACCGGUGGCGAAGGCGGCAUUCUGGACCGAUAUUGACGCUGAGGAGCGAAAGCCAGGGGAGCAAACGGG
Molecule: ribosomal RNA, 253 nt
Filed under: uncultured bacterium
Lineage: Bacteria
Description: partial 16S ribosomal RNA
Rfam family: Bacterial small subunit ribosomal RNA
Source: RNAcentral